CUACGGGGGGCAGCAGUGAGGAAUUUUGCGCAAUGGGGGUAACCCUGACGCAGCAACGCCGCGUGAGUGAUGAAGGCUUUCGGGUCGUAAAGCUCUGUCAAGUGGGAAGAAUAUACGAAAUGCUAAUACCAUUUUGUACUGACGGUACCACUGAAGGAAGCACCGGCUAACUCCGUGCCAGCAGCCGCGGUAAUACGGGGGGUGCAAGCGUUAUUCGGAAUUAUUGGGCGUAAAGAGCACGUAGGCGGCCGCUUAAGUCAGAUGUGAAAGCCCGGGGCUCAACCCCGGAAGUGCAUUUGAAACUAAGUGGCUUGAGUAUGGGAGAGGGAAGUGGAAUUCCUGGUGUAGAGGUGAAAUUCGUAGAUAUCAGGAGGAACACCGGUGGCGAAGGCGACUUCCUGGACCAAUACUGACGCUGAGGUGCGAAGGCGUGGGGAGCAAACAGGAUUAGAUACCCCUGUAGUC
This 465-nucleotide ribosomal RNA is filed under the name uncultured bacterium. RNAcentral's name for it is "partial 16S ribosomal RNA". It matches the Rfam family "Bacterial small subunit ribosomal RNA", at positions 339 to 795 of the family's 1533-position model. The record is from RNAcentral.